This is a long non-coding RNA of Perognathus longimembris pacificus (Pacific pocket mouse), 439 nucleotides long. RefSeq lists it as uncharacterized. Lineage: Eukaryota; Metazoa; Chordata; Mammalia; Rodentia; Heteromyidae. The record is from RefSeq and is a predicted model, not a curated record. The transcript has 2 exons.
AGGACAAUACCCAAGCCCUAUGACCAAAAAAAAAAAAAAGUAUCAAAUCCCCUUGCUUCAUGCUCUUAAUUUGCAUGUGUUUAUUAAGCAUCACAGAUAAGAUGCCACAUACACACAUGUCUCUGUAAAUUGAUCUGGUGGCACAUAAAGUACACUUAGUCAUCUGUCAUGACCAGGUGUUCUAUGCUCCUGCUGCCCUCAGACGGUUUGUGAGACUUGUUCAAGUGGAGUGGCUGCACUACCUCUUCUACAGGUUGUUGACUGUUGGCAUUCAUUUUACACAGCCACCUGAACUGCAGGUUAAGGAGGUUUUAUAAACACGAAAAUGGUCCUUCCUGCCAGAAAAAUUAGAGGUUUUGGAAUAUUGUGUUGUAAUUUUAAAUUGAACCUUAAUAACGACAUUUAUAAAAGUAACUUUGGCUUAUACUAUGGACUUAAA